AGGAGAGUUUGAUCCUGGCUCAGGAUGAACGCUAGCGACAGGCCUAACACAUGCAAGUCGAGGGGCAGCGCGGGAGAAGCUUGCUUUUCCUGGCGGCGACCGGCGCACGGGUGCGUAACAGGUGUGCAAUCUGUCCUAUACCGGGGCAUAGCCCAGCGAAAGUUGGAUUAAUUCUCCAUGUGAAGCGAUACCGCAUGAUAUUGCUUUGAAACGUAAGGGUAUAGGGUGAGCACGCUUCUGAUUAGAUAGUUGGUGGGGUAACGGCUCACCAAGUCGACGAUCAGUAGGGGUUCUGAGAGGAAGGUCCCCCACAUUGGAACUGAGACACGGUCCAAACUCCUACGGGAGGCAGCAGUGAGGAAUAUUGGUCAAUGGGCGAGAGCCUGAACCAGCCAAGUCGCGUGAAGGAUGAAGGUUCUAUGGAUUGUAAACUUCUUUUGUCCGAGGGUAAAAAAGGCCACGUGUGGCUUCUUGCAAGUAUCGGACGAAUAAGCAUCGGCUAACUCCGUGCCAGCAGCCGCGGUAAUACGGAGGAUGCGAGCGUUAUCCGGAUUUAUUGGGUUUAAAGGGUGCGUAGGUGGUUUGUUAAGUUUGUGGUGAAAGCGUGCGGCUCAACCGUACCAAGCCAUGAAAACUGGCGAACUUGAGUGCAAACGAGGUAGGCGGAAUGUGAUGUGUAGCGGUGAAAUGCUUAGAUAUGUCACAGAACCCCGAUUGCGAAGGCAGCUUACCAGCAUGCAACUGACACUGAGGCACGAAAGCGUGGGUAUCAAACAGGAUUAGAUACCCUGGUAGUCCCCU
Molecule: ribosomal RNA, 801 nt
Filed under: uncultured Bacteroidota bacterium
Lineage: Bacteria; Pseudomonadati; Bacteroidota
Description: bacterial SSU rRNA
Rfam family: Bacterial small subunit ribosomal RNA
Source: RNAcentral